This 505-nucleotide ribosomal RNA is filed under the name uncultured bacterium. RNAcentral describes it as "bacterial SSU rRNA". It matches the Rfam family "Bacterial small subunit ribosomal RNA", at positions 32 to 507 of the family's 1533-position model. The record is from RNAcentral.
AAUCAACGCUGGCGGCGUGCCUAACACAUGCAAGUCGAGCGAGAAAGGGGACUUCGGUCCCUGAGUAGAGCGGCGGACGGGUGAGUAACACGUGGGUAAUCUACCCUCGGGUGGGGAAUAACUCAGGGAAACCUGGGCUAAUUCCGCAUGAUAUUUUCGAUGCAUACGUAUUGAAAAUCAAAGCUGGGGACCCUUCGGGGCCUAGCGCCUGAGGAGGAGCCCGCGGCCAAUUAGCUUGAUGGUGAGGUAAUGGCUCACCAUGGCUUCGAUUGGUAGCCGGCCUGAGAGGGCGGACGGUCACACUGGGACUGAGACACGGCCCAGACUCCUACGGGAGGCAGCAGUGGGGAAUUUUUGUCAAUGGGGGAAACCCUGAACAAGCAACGCCGCGUGAAGGACGAAGACCUUCGGGUUGUAAACUUCUGUCGGAGGGGACGAAGGCAGUAUUGGUUAAUACCCAGUGCUGUUGACGGUACCCUACGAGGAAGCCCCGGCUAACUCCGUG